GACGUAGGAUGCGAGCGUUGUCCGGAUUUAUUGGGCGUAAAGAGUUCGUAGGUGGUUUGUUAAGUCUGAUGUUAAAGAUCGGAGCUCAACUUCGGGACAGCAUUGGAUACUGGCAGACUUGAGUAUGGUAGAGGCUAGUGGAAUUCCCAGUGUAGCGGUGAAAUGCGUAGAUAUUGGGAAGAACACCGGUGGCGUAGGCGACUAGCUGGGCCAUAACUGACGCUGAGGAACGAAAGCCAGGGGAGCGAAAGGG
This 253-nucleotide ribosomal RNA is filed under the name uncultured bacterium. RNAcentral describes it as "partial 16S ribosomal RNA". It matches the Rfam family "Bacterial small subunit ribosomal RNA", at positions 524 to 776 of the family's 1533-position model. The record is from RNAcentral.